This 468-nucleotide ribosomal RNA is filed under the name uncultured bacterium. Its description in RNAcentral is "partial 16S ribosomal RNA". It matches the Rfam family "Bacterial small subunit ribosomal RNA", at positions 28 to 507 of the family's 1533-position model. The record is from RNAcentral.
GACGAACGCUGGCGGCGUGCUUAACACAUGCAAGUCGAACGGAAAGGCCCUGCUUUUGUGGGGUGCUCGAGUGGCGAACGGGUGAGUAACACGUGAGUAACCUGCCCUUGACUUUGGGAUAACUUCAGGAAACUGGGGCUAAUACCGGAUAGGAGCUCCUGCUGCAUGGGGGGGGUUGGAAAGUUUCGGCGGUUGGGGAUGGACUCGCGGCUUAUCAGCUUGUUGGUGGGGUAGUGGCUUACCAAGGCUUUGACGGGUAGCCGGCCUGAGAGGGUGACCGGCCACAUUGGUACUGAGAUACGGCCCAGACUCCUACGGGAGGCAGCAGUGGGGAAUCUUGCACAAUGGGCGGAAGCCUGAUGCAGCAACGCCGCGUGCGGGAUGACGGCCUUCGGGUUGUAAACCGCUUUCGCCUGUGACGAAGCGUGAGUGACGGUAAUGGGUAAAGAAGCACCGGCUAACUACGUG